GUUUCUCUUUCUUUCUUAUCUCCAGGAAGAAAGAACAUUUAGGAUCCUAUGCGAGGUCAGUAUCCCAACAUAGCCACAAAUCAUCGUAUCCACGAGAAACUUUUUCCUCUUCUUCGUUCUCCUCGAUUAACUGAACGUAUCACCGAAACAAAAUUGAGUAAUCAUGACAGUAUUCUACCUAUAAUUCUUUCUCUUUUGUGAACUUUAUCUAUUUGUGAAAAUGCCUAAGUUACAAUCUCACUGUUUAGUUUCAAUUUCUAUUCUAUCUACUGCCACAUCAAUUGAACCCACGGAUGGCAUAAAAGUGUAUUUUUUGUAUCUAUUUCGAAGAAAGUGAAUUAAUGAUGGAAGAAGAUCAACAGGCGUUCUUGCAAGAGAGAGACAUGACAAACCAUGGUGACAAACACAAAAUAGCAGCAAUGGCAAAAUUGUGCAGGACGACGAGUUUCCUUUUCAAGGUUCUAGGUUGUUGACGUUUUGUUGAGAAGAACUUAUGUGAAAAAUCAUUGAUGUCUCCACUUCGAUAUAUCACUGUGGAGGUGUUUUCAGUGGCAAUGAUCACGAUAUACAGGAUUUAUGUUGGAGCCGUUACAGCAUGCACUCAACCUCACCAAAUCGUUGUUGAUUUACUGGCACAAAGGGUAGAGGAAGAAAGUAAUGGGUAUACAUAAUAGUUCUAUCAGUUGUUACACUUAUCAGUCUUGCUCAUCUAGGCAGAAAUUCAACUUCAACUUCAAGCAGAUGAUGCAGAAAAGCUUUCUGCCUACUUCUUUGGUUGUAAUACAGUUUAUGUGGUUGGAAAAAAAAACUCAUGCUGACAUCGAAUGUGUUCCCAGUGAUUCAGUUAUACUCAGCUAAUUUCACCUGAAGCCAUAUGCUCAUAUUGCUAUUUGGUUGAACUAGAAUUUCCAAAGAACGUAUCUUUGUACUCAAUCGUUAAAGCUAAUGAUGGGUGCACAACAGAUUGGCAGAGGAUGUAAGCCACAAUGAAAGACUAAUAGACUUGGGCAUUCAAUGGGAAAAAAUGGGUUGGAAGAAAAAUUAUGAUGUAACCCUAUACCAAGACUUGCACUAUUGUAUUCUAUUCGGGGUGGUUGAUUACUCCAACACUAAGAACACAAGGAACAACAAGGACUGAGGGUUGUCAUGGUGUUGGGAUAAAAUAGUCUCACUUGAAAGUGAUUUUCACCUUAUAGAUUAUAUACACGACAUGCCCAGUAUUGCUUUCUGCAGUGAUGUUGUGGUUCAACAAUUCUGAACAAGUGAUUAUACAUGGACCUGCAAGAUACGGAUUUGAUAAUACAUGGACCUGCAAGAUAUCGGAUUUAAUUUUUCGGUUGCUGCUCUCUUUUGGGUUUUUCUUUGUUAUUUUUUCACUGCUGUUUAUUUAUUUUUUAAAUUUUUUUUACUGAUUCCAAUUUAUGUUUCUGGUUCCUCGCCCUAAUCUUCACACGACAUCAACAAAUCAAGUAGAGUCACAGGUUCAGUUGACCAUAUAGAUUACGUCUACCAAGGAUGAAAAGAGGCAUUUGCGGGACUGGAGGCAAAGUUGAGUUGUAAGUUCAGCUGUCAAUAGAAACAACCUGUAUUUACUGUGAUGUUGAACUCCAAACAACCUGUAUUUACUGUGAUGUUUAUUAAGGGUAACCUGAAUGAGUUAAAGAACCCAGUUCACUCGAUGUAUCUUACUAUUCCAGUAUUUGUAUAUUAUAUUUGUCCCCAUUCACUCUAGGUUGGCUACCAAAUAAUGGGAAAUCGAUGGUAAUUUUAGAAAUAAUAUAAUGAUAUGAAAUUAUGCAGUUACAGUUUAUAGGUUGAAAAGCAUUAUGUGUAUACUUAAUUUGUUGGUGCUACGGUAUGUAGAAAAGUUUGAAAAGUUUGUCUACCUGUGAACCUAUUAAACCAAGGUAGUUGAAAAUCUCCGCCUUUCUCAGUUUCUUUAUUGUUUUAGUAUAACUUUUCUCUUUGGUAGUGGCCAACAUAUUGAAUCUGCAGUCCAUAGAAAGCGAUAGAGUUACUCAAUAGAAGGACUGCAGGGUUGUAUGGAUUUUCUGAAUUGGUUGAUGGUGUCACUCGAACAACAUUCAGGCAUAUAUGCGAGGAUGACAGCAUAGAAGUGCUCAUAAGUGAAAGGCUACAAUUUUUAUUGACGAUAUUAGUAGAUUUUUAUUGAGACUUCCUCCAUAAAACCAUUCCUUAUUCAUUUCCUUAGAAAAAUCAUGGAGUAUCUAUUGAACCACUGAAAUUAUAUAUAUAUAUACAUUUUGUUUUGAUCUUAUAUAGGAUUUUCACGUACUUAUGUUUCACGAUUUUCAUCUGGAGAUUGCAUGUAGCUGAUGGGGUUUUGGGGAAUUGGCUUCUUUGCAUGCGACUAGCUAAAUGUGCAUGAGACAAUGAUGUCAUGACAACAAGCUUUUAAUCAAGUAAGAAAUUACAAAACUUGCAAUGUUGA
Long non-coding RNA from Papaver somniferum (opium poppy), 2452 nucleotides. RefSeq lists it as uncharacterized. The transcript has 8 exons. The record is from RefSeq and is a predicted model, not a curated record. NCBI's taxonomy places the organism in Eukaryota, Viridiplantae, Streptophyta, Magnoliopsida, Ranunculales, Papaveraceae.